CAUGCAAGUCGAGCGGCAGCGCGGGGGCAACCCUGGCGGCGAGCGGCGAACGGGUGAGUAAUGCAUCGGAACGUACCCCGUAGUGGGGGAUAACCCGGCGAAAGCCGGACUAAUACCGCAUAUGCUCUACGGAGGAAAGGGGGGACCCGCAAGGGCCUCCUGCUAUGGGAGCGGCCGAUGUCCGGUUAGCUUGUUGGCGGGGUAAAGGCCCACCAAGGCGACGAUCGGUAGCUGGUCUGAGAGGAUGAUCAGCCACACUGGGACUGAGACACGGCCCAGACUCCUACGGGGGGCAGCAGUGGGGAAUUUUGGACAAUGGGGGCAACCCUGAUCCAGCCAUGCCGCGUGCGGGAAGAAGGCCUUCGGGUUGUAAACCGCUUUUGUCCGGGAAGAAAAGGCAUCCCCUAAUACGGGGUGCUCUUGACGGUACUGGAAGAAUAAGCACCGGCUAACUACGUGCCAGCAGCCGCGGUAAUACGUAGGGUGCGAGCGUUAAUCGGAAUUACUGGGCGUAAAGCGUGCGCAGGCGGUUCGUCAAGUCUGAUGUGAAAGCCCCGGGCUCAACCUGGGAAUGGCAUUGGAUACUAGCGAGCUUGAGUGUGGCAGAGGGGGGUGGAAUUCCACGUGUAGCAGUGAAAUGCGUAGAGAUGUGGAGGAACACCGAUGGCGAAGGCAGCCCCCUGGGC
Molecule: ribosomal RNA, 686 nt
Filed under: uncultured soil bacterium
Lineage: Bacteria
Description: bacterial SSU rRNA
Rfam family: Bacterial small subunit ribosomal RNA
Source: RNAcentral